AUAAAUGAGAGACACCUGUGAGCUGAGCUGCUGCUAACAAAGGAAGCAUGAAGAACAAUAGAGAGAAGUGGCAAAAAAGACAACCAGUAGACUUUUACAAGAACUGUACAGCUUCUGGUCAACUUUGAUCCAGAACUAGCUUGUUUAGUGAACAUUUGCUGGUCCAUGUGGAACUGAAGGAUAUCAGCUGAUCUCAGGAGCAGGACUGGAUAUGCAUCAUACAUCAGACAGCUGCCUGGAGGAGUUUUUUGUCUGGCCGCAGACCAGAUGGUAUGUUUGGAAGACACCAGACACCACAACCCCGCUGUGAGGCAUGGAGGUGGCAGCAUCAUGAUGUGGACAUGCUUCAUGGUGGCACACCAUGGAAGGGGAAAUCCUGGAGGAUAACCUGGUAAACAUCUAAGAACUGUAACUCGAGAAAUGCCCCUGUUCGUAAAAUAACUGAAAUCUUACUUCUCUAUUAAUCUUUAAUUCAUUUUAGUUUUCAGUUCCUUCAUUUUGCCUGUUUUUUUCUUUAUUUGGCAAAGAUUUAGCCAUUUUGUUGACCUGCACAGUUGUAAUAUUCCUCAAUUUCCAUAAAGUAAUGAGAUGAUUCAUUCA
Amphiprion ocellaris (clown anemonefish) is the source of this 600-nucleotide long non-coding RNA. Lineage: Eukaryota; Metazoa; Chordata; Actinopteri; Pomacentridae. The record is from Ensembl.